RNAcentral lists this ribosomal RNA (253 nucleotides) under uncultured bacterium. Its description in RNAcentral is "partial 16S ribosomal RNA". It matches the Rfam family "Bacterial small subunit ribosomal RNA", at positions 524 to 776 of the family's 1533-position model. The record is from RNAcentral.
UACGGAGGGGGCUAGCGUUGUUCGGAAUUACUGGGCGUAAAGCGCGCGUAGGCGGCUUUGUAAGUUAGAGGUGAAAGCCCGGAGCUCAACUCCGGAAUUGCCUUUAAGACUGCAUCGCUAGAAUCAUGGAGAGGUUAGUGGAAUUCCGAGUGUAGAGGUGAAAUUCGUAGAUAUUCGGAAGAACACCAGUGGCGAAGGCGACUAACUGGACAUGUAUUGACGCUGAGGUGCGAAAGCGUGGGUAUCAAACAGG